UUUUUUCGGAGCGCGGCUAUCUGCAGUCGAGCGAACAGACGAGGAGCUUGCUCCUCUGACGUUAGCGGCGGACGGGUGAGUAACACGUGGAUAACCUACCUAUAAGACUGGGAUAACUUCGGGAAACCGGAGCUAAUACCGGAUAAAAUAUUGAACCGCAUGGUUCAAUAGUGAAAGACGGUUUUGCUGUCACUUAUAGAUGGAUCCGCGCCGCAUUAGCUAGUUGGUAAGGUAACGGCUUACCAAGGCAACGAUGCGUAGCCGACCUGAGAGGGUGAUCGGCCACACUGGAACUGAGACACGGUCCAGACUCCUACGGGAGGCAGCAGUAGGGAAUCUUCCGCAAUGGGCGAAAGCCUGACGGAGCAACGCCGCGUGAGUGAUGAAGGUCUUCGGAUCGUAAAACUCUGUUAUUAGGGAAGAACAAAUGUGUAAGUAACUAUGCACGUCUUGACGGUACCUAAUCAGAAAGCCACGGCUAACUACGUGCCAGCAGCCGCGGUAAUACGUAGGUGGCAAGCGUUAUCCGGAAUUAUUGGGCGUAAAGCGCGCGUAGGCGGUUUUUUAAGUCUGAUGUGAAAGCCCACGGCUCAACCGUGGAGGGUCAUUGGAAACUGGAAAACUUGAGUGCAGAAGAGGAAAGUGGAAUUCCAUGUGUAGCGGUGAAAUGCGCAGAGAUAUGGAGGAACACCAGUGGCGAAGGCGACUUUCUGGUCUGUAACUGACGCUGAUGUGCGAAAGCGUGGGGAUCAAACAGGAUUAGAUACCCUGGUAGUCCACGCCGUAAACGAUGAGUGCUAAGUGUUAGGGGGUUUCCGCCCCUUAGUGCUGCAGCUAACGCAUUAAGCACUCCGCCU
Molecule: ribosomal RNA, 857 nt
Filed under: uncultured marine bacterium
Lineage: Bacteria
Description: bacterial SSU rRNA
Rfam family: Bacterial small subunit ribosomal RNA
Source: RNAcentral